CUUGGUCAUUUAGAGGAAGUAAAAGUCGUAACAAGGUUUCCGUAGGUGAACCUGCGGAAGGAUCAUUAUUGAAAUAAACCUGAUGGGUUGUUGCUGGUUCUCUAGGGAGCAUGUGCACACCUUGUCAUCUUUAUAUCUCCACCUGUGCACUUUUUGUAGACCUUUCAGGUCUAUGUUGCUUCAUUUACCCCAAUGUAUGUUAAUAGAAUGUUGUGCCUAUAUAAUAUAUACAACUUUCAGCAACGGAUCUCUUGGCUCUCGCAUCGAUGAAGAACGCAGCGAAAUGCGAUAAGUAAUGUGAAUUGCAGAAUUCAGUGAAUCAUCGAAUCUUUGAACGCACCUUGCGCUCCUUGGUAUUCCGAGGAGCAUGCCUGUUUGAGUGUCAUUAAUAUAUCAACCUUCUCUUUUUUGAGUUGUUUGGAUGUGGGGGUUUGCUGGCUUCUUAAAUGAUUCAGCUCCCCUGAAAUGCAUUAGCAGAACAACCUGUUCAUUGGCGUGAUAAUUAUCUAUGCUAUUGAAUGUGAGGGCAGUUCAGCUUUCUAACCGUCCUCGGACAAUUCAUCAUUAAUGUGACCUCAAAUCAGGUAGGACUACCCGCUGAACUUAAGCAUAUCAAUAAGCGGAGGA
RNAcentral lists this ribosomal RNA (627 nucleotides) under uncultured fungus. RNAcentral's name for it is "eukaryotic LSU rRNA". The stretch from base 232 to 385 matches the Rfam family "5.8S ribosomal RNA". The record is from RNAcentral. Lineage: Eukaryota; Fungi.